GACGAACCGGGCGAACGUUGUUCGGAAUUACUGGGCUUAAAGGGCGCGUAGGCGGAUUGCCAAGUCAGGGGUGAAAUCUCUCAGCUCAACUGUGAAAUUGCUUUUGAUACUGGCAGUCUUGAGUGAGGUAGGGGCAUGUGGAACUCUAGGUGGAGCGGUGAAAUGUGUUGAUAUCGGGAGGAACUCCGGUGGCGAAAGCGGCGUGCUGGACCUCAACUGACGCUGAGGCGAGAAAGCGAGGGGAGCAAACGGG
Molecule: ribosomal RNA, 253 nt
Filed under: uncultured bacterium
Lineage: Bacteria
Description: partial 16S ribosomal RNA
Rfam family: Bacterial small subunit ribosomal RNA
Source: RNAcentral